Molecule: ribosomal RNA, 489 nt
Filed under: uncultured bacterium
Lineage: Bacteria
Description: partial 16S ribosomal RNA
Rfam family: Bacterial small subunit ribosomal RNA
Source: RNAcentral
UUGCACGCUGGCGGCAGGCCUAACACAUGCAAGUCGAACGGUAACAGGAAGAAGCUUGCUUCUUUGCUGACGAGUGGCGGACGGGUGAGUAAUGUCUGGGAAACUGCCUGAUGGAGGGGGAUAACUACUGGAAACGGUAGCUAAUACCGCAUAAUGUCGCAAGACCAAAGAGGGGGACCUUCGGGCCUCUUGCCAUCGGAUGUGCCCAGAUGGGAUUAGCUAGUAGGUGGGGUAACGGCUCACCUAGGCGACGAUCCCUAGCUGGUCUGAGAGGAUGACCAGCCACACUGGAACUGAGACACGGUCCAGACUCCUACGGGAGGCAGCAGUGGGGAAUAUUGCACAAUGGGCGCAAGCCUGAUGCAGCUAUGCCGCGUGUAUGAAGAAGGCCUUCGGGUUGUAAAGUACUUUCAGCGGGGAGGAAGGGAGUAAAGUUAAUACCUUUGCUCAUUGACGUUACCCGCAGAAGAAGCACCGGCUAACUCCGUG